UGCAACUGUGUGCAUAAACAUAACCUAUAAACUCCCAUAAGUAAAAUGGCAGUCUUUGCGAAAGUUUUACAACUUUCGAAAAGUAUAAAUAAUGUGACAAAGUUAUUAACAAAUUCGUCUUUAUGUUCGAAUGUAAACCCCAUCUUGAAUCCAACAUGUAUUCGACGAGUAUCUACCUCCCAAUGUGCAUUCAUUCAUACUACAUCUAAACGAAAUGAUUUAAUGGAAUUUUUUGAUGAUAAAAAGAAUUGGGGAAGGAAGGAAGUAAAGGUAGGACGUUCUUGGCUAAAAGAUGAAUUAAGAUUAAAGAGCAAUGAAGAUCUUCAUAAGUUAUGGUUUGUGUUGCUGAAAGAACACAAUAUGCUUCUAACAAUGGAAGAAGCUUAUAAACAGGAAUAUGAAUACUUUCCCAAUCCUGAAAGAAUUGAUAAAGUGUUAGACAGCAUGUCAAAUUUGGAGUCUGUGGUUCGUGAAAGAAAUCAGGCAUAUUACAAUCUUGAAACUGGAACAUGCGGGGAACGUCCUGCAAGAAUGGCGUACAAUGCUAUUGGUAUGCGUUAUUUCUAUAAAAUGCGGCAAUAUCAUAUACCAAAGUUUAUGAAUAAAAAGUGGCACAAAAAACACGUGUUCGGUUAUGGUGGACAUGCCGUUUCCAAAUUUUUACGAUUCUACAGAGAGAAACUUUGGAACGUGAAACGUAGAGCACAAAACCGAGAUCGUAAUCGUGUGGCGGCUCUGAUGCGAAGGUUCCCGAAUCUCGAUCUUGGAGCUGCGAAAAAACAGUAUCCAGGGGCAAAUAUAAGUAAAUUGAAGAUGUCAAGAAACGCAGUUUCACAUUUGCAACCUGAAUAAAUGCAGUUUUUCAUUAGAUAAUAUAUGAAGAAGCAUUUUCCAUACUGCAUAGGAUGAAUCUUGAAGCUACUGGCAUCGGUUUCAUUCGCAAGAUCCAUAUCACUGUCGAAUGCAACGCCACUGUCACCGGGAGAAGCUAAACUCGAGGAUACGCUGGAUGAUCUAAGGUGUAACGAUAAUAUAGUUCCGGA
Molecule: RNA transcript, 1043 nt
Organism: Colletes gigas
Lineage: Eukaryota; Metazoa; Arthropoda; Insecta; Hymenoptera; Colletidae
Gene: mRpL47
Gene name: 39S ribosomal protein L47, mitochondrial
Exons: 6
Source: RefSeq, a predicted model, not a curated record